UGUUAUUUAAGUUUUCUCUCGUGCCUUCUCUUCGAUUUCAUGCGAUCUCUUCCUUUCUUUUCAUCUGAGUUUAAUAUGUAUAGUACCUUUAAAAUAUAUCUUAAUAUGUAGUAGUUACUACUACUACUCGUUACAAAGUCGACUCUCUGUUGAUUCAAGAUGAUAAUGUAUGACUGCGAGAGAUUUCAUAUGAAUAAAAACAAAUUUAAAAAAGAAGAAAAAAAAAGAAAAUCAUGGAAUAAAAGCAAAAGACGGCGCGCUUCUAAUUACAGAUUCACAACGUCAGCAAAUGUCUGUAACUACUACUGUCUUAGCAGUGACUGACUGUUAAUUUCUUCGAAUAUGAAAUAAUUCGGUAACUUGCUUUUUGGAUGGUGCAAUCAUUAUUUCGUUGUUAUCUUUUCUUCCUUUUAUGAAUAUGUACCGUAACAUUCAAUUAGACACGAAUUAAAGCAAUCAGUUUGAAAUGAUUCACAGAAUUAUUUUUGACAUUGUCGUUAGAAUAUACGAUUUGACUUGUAUUGAUUAUUGAGCGUAACAAUUUCAUUUUUUUUUUUUUGUAAAUUAAUAAUUAAAGAUAUUGUUAAAUUGGAUUAAAUAAAGUUUGUAUUUUUUAUUGAAUGAAAUAAAAAAUUUUAUAUAUAUUAUAUACAAAAAAGAUAAUGAAAGCAAAAGAAAGUAAGUUUCCGAAUUUUUAUUUCGUUUUCCGAGCUUUUAAUCUGAUAUCUAUCGAAGAAUUUUUAAAUUUAUAUAAAAAAUAAUUAUUAUGUAGCGUCAUCCAAUUGCGACGUAACAAAACAAUGAUCAACCAUUGAAAUUUUUUUUAAACUCUUUUACUAAACUCUUUAACUUUUUCAGAAACAUGACGUUGCAUAAAAGAUCGAAGACCGUUUCCUAGACAAGAUUGCCCACUUUACACUUGGAUAGCAGGUCAGUGAAAAAUAAUGGGAUUGUUCUCUGAAAAGAAGAUAAUGAAACAGAAGAGACGACAACGGGUUCUCGUGUCAACGUCGUAUCGCGAUCUUUUGAUCGCGACCGAUAAAACUCGUUUUGAAAAUUUCUAAAUCGUUUUCGACCAUAACCUGAAUAAGACGAUUUAAAUAAAAUCAUCAUAAGAAAAUUAUUUAUAUAUAUAUUAACAGAAGAUCGUAAAAUACGAGAUUUUUGAUUAAUAAAAUUCGAUAUAAAUCGAUUAUCGAUCAAUUGAUAUCUCUAACUUGAAAUUUGUCCAAUGAAGUUGUCUGCUUAAAUGUACAUAUUUCUCGACAAGUUCUAUCAAAGUUUUUUUAAACGAUUACAUGGUUUAUACAUUGUAACGAAGUGUUAACUCUGCACAAAUAUGUUUCCUGGACUAGUCUAUAAGAAAUAAUGAUAUCAUGUAACUUAUGUUACGGUUGUAUGGAUUAACCGUAAAUUGGAAGAUCGAAAUCGUUGAUAAUUAGAUCAUAAAUGUGAUGGUUGAUUUUGUGACGGCAUACGAAAACGAUCAAUCGAUCUCAAGAAGAUGCUUGUCUAUGACAAAUUGCGUUCCAGACGACUCAUCAAGACCUGAUUGAUUCAUUCAUCGCGAUUUCAUCAGUGAUAUUAGCAGCAUGUGAGCAACAUGUUUACCAAUUAUCGUGAAAUUUGCACACUGAGAAUCUUUUCUUUUUUUAUGUACGCGCGCGAUGAGAGUUGUUAAUAAUGAUAUGAAUCAAUGAUAGCGUUGUAAAUCAAUUUUUAAUUGCGAUUCCGACUCAAUCUGUUCUAUCAUUGUGACAGUGUUGCUAAUAUCGCGAAUGAAAUUCGACAGAUAAUACAUUGUUUGUUUGAUUUUAAUAAUUAUCUGUCAAAUUGUACAUGAUAAAAAAAGAAGUCUACGACUGGUUUGAAAUCAUAGUAAUAAUCAUAUAUGCAUAUCGUAAUUCAAAAAAAUCAUUAUAUAUAUAAUCAAACAAAUUUCAAUAAACAUCAUUGUGUUUUCGCUUUUUGAA
Molecule: long non-coding RNA, 1973 nt
Organism: Apis laboriosa (Himalayan honeybee)
Lineage: Eukaryota; Metazoa; Arthropoda; Insecta; Hymenoptera; Apidae
Exons: 3
Source: RefSeq, a predicted model, not a curated record